AACAGAUGUGCCCAAAAUGUCUCAUAGCGUGCAAGACAACAAACAUACACAGAAUGACAGAAAAACACAGAAAAGUGCUGUAAAAACUUUUUGUUGUUUCCUGUGUUAAUGCUCAGAUUGCUCAUUCUUGUAAGUGCCGACGUUAAUGUUGAUAAUGUGGUCCUUUGAUCAAACAAACACAUUUUUGUGGCACCCGCUGUGAUAGAAGUUGUCCACCUCUGCUCUACACGCUGGCUGCUGAUUGACAGGUGGGGCAGGUGUGAGUGCUUUGCCGAGGCGUCCCACCUGUCAGUACGACCCCCUCGUGUCCACAAACACACACACUCAUCUUUUCCUCUGUUGCUCCGCCUCCCUGACCCUCGACCCCCUGAGCAACUUCCUAUCCCCACGGGUAAGGCAGCACCCCCGCCCCCCCCUUCCUCCUUUUCUCUCCACCGUGACCUGGGUCGCUGUCGUAGCUGGUAAAUAACAGGUCGGGCCUUACCUGCCCUGCUGAACGCUGCUACUGUUUACAGCCAUGACUUCUAACCUCGGACCCCCCACAAACAUUCCCUCACCAUUCUAACGCCCCCUGAAGUCCACAUCUCCUGUUACAGUGUCCUGAAGCUGAUGAUGGCAGUUCCUGAUCUGUGGUUCACGGCUCAUCUAGUCUGGGACACUCUGAUGUUCAAUCUCGCUAUCCUGUUCUGUUGGUCCUUCUGUCCACUAACCCCAACCAGUCAAAGCAGACGAAUGCCACCUCUGAACCUGGUUCUGCUGGAGAUUUAUUCCUGCUAAAAGGGAGUUUUUUCUUCCCACUGUCGCUAAUGAUUGUUCAUGUGGAUUUUGUUGGGUUUUUUCAUACUAAUUUAAUAUUUUGAUAGCGCUUUGAAAUGACUUUUGUUGUAAUCUGCACUAUAUAACUAAAGUUGAAUUGUAUUGAAUUUUUUAUAAAGCUUUUCUUUCGGUUCUCAUCUCUCUGAGCAACAUCUUUUUCUUCUCAGUCUGCUAAUUAAAGGAGCCGAGGGGAACAAACAGCGUCCUGGGGACUCAGCUCAACGUGUCAACAGAGCCGCUGUUGCUGCUCCACAGGCUGGUUCAGCUCAGAGAGCCUGUCAGCAGCUUGGGCCAGUCCUCCAAGACAUCUGCAGUUUAUCAAACAUGCUCGUUUCUCUGUCUUCAGCUUCUCUCUGCAGUGCCCAGCUCUCAGCGUUGAAUAGUUUGAAAAAAAGAGAAAAAGAAGUGCACUUUGUGCUACAGCUGAAGUUGAGGAAACAUGAGAUGGCUGCAGGAUUGUUUGCACAACGUUAGCAUGCAGUUGGCAGAGUCACAGAGAGAACGGUAAUUAUGAGCCGGGUUGAGUCAGGAUCCCCAGAGAGGUGGACUUCCUCUGUGUUCUCAGUGAAUCUCAGCGCUGCAUUGUUGAAGUAAUGUGACAGUACAUGUAGAAAAUGAAACACAACAACAUUUAACCUUUGCAUGAUGUAUUGUAUUGUUUUGAUCUGGAAUGGCCUCGGCACUACCGAAUGAAAAGCUGUGACCCAAACCAUCAAAAUAAUCUAUAGAAAAGUUUCUUGAAAGUGAAGAGGGCAAAGGUUCAUGGGCUUUAUUGUGAAGGAGUCUGAGGGCUUGUGGGUAGAAGCAGUUGGUCAGGUGUAUAUUCUCUGUUUUGCCCAUUAAACUAUCCUUUGCCAUAACAUACCACCUGGUUUCUCCUAAUUUGGCCACUCUUGACUGCUUUGGGCUCAUUUUAGUCACUUUUCACUCUUUUCUUGCCACGUUUUUGCCACUUUUGGACCCCUUUUGGCCAUCUGUUACUAAGUCUGCCUCCUCAUAAAAAAACAACAAAUAAAAACACAUAGCGGACCA
RNAcentral lists this long non-coding RNA (1848 nucleotides) under Gouania willdenowi (blunt-snouted clingfish). RNAcentral describes it as "lncRNA (ENSGWIG00000023341.1)". The record is from RNAcentral. Lineage: Eukaryota; Metazoa; Chordata; Actinopteri; Blenniiformes; Gobiesocidae.